RNAcentral lists this transfer RNA (70 nucleotides) under Dipodomys ordii (Ord's kangaroo rat). It matches the Rfam family "tRNA". Rfam says of the family: Transfer RNA (tRNA) molecules are approximately 80 nucleotides in length. Their secondary structure includes four short double-helical elements and three loops (D, anti-codon, and T loops). Lineage: Eukaryota; Metazoa; Chordata; Mammalia; Rodentia; Heteromyidae. The record is from Rfam by way of RNAcentral.
GGGACUGUGGCUUAGUGGUAGAGUGCUUGCCCAGUAUGCAUGAAGCCCUGGGUUCGAUUCCUCAGUACCA